AAAUCGAUCAUUAAUGCUCACUCUCCUGCUGUCUGAUGAAAGAUGCAGUUGAUGACUGAAGAGCCUUUUCAGCUUUCAGAGUUGCACUGAGGUUU
Eptesicus fuscus (big brown bat) is the source of this 95-nucleotide small nucleolar RNA. RefSeq annotates it as small nucleolar RNA SNORD116. The record is from RefSeq and is a predicted model, not a curated record. NCBI's taxonomy places the organism in Eukaryota, Metazoa, Chordata, Mammalia, Chiroptera, Vespertilionidae. The transcript has a single exon.